UUUCUGUGGCAACUUUCUUAGGACACCUUUGGAUUCAAUGUGAAGAAAUUUGUAUUCUGAGCAAU
This is a non-coding RNA of Gallus gallus (chicken), 65 nucleotides long. NCBI's taxonomy places the organism in Eukaryota, Metazoa, Chordata, Aves, Galliformes, Phasianidae. The record is from Rfam.